GAUGAACGCUGGCGGCGUGCCUAAUACAUGCAAGUCGAGCGAACGGACGAGAAGCUUGCUUCUCUGAUGUUAGCGGCGGACGGGUGAGUAACACGUGGAUAACCUACCUAUAAGACUGGGAUAACUUCGGGAAACCGGAGCUAAUACCGGAUAAUAUUUUGAACCGCAUGGUUCAAAAGUGAAAGACGGUCUUGCUGUCACUUAUAGAUGGAUCCGCGCUGCAUUAGCUAGUUGGUAAGGUAACGGCUUACCAAGGCAACGAUGCAUAGCCGACCUGAGAGGGUGAUCGGCCACACUGGAACUGAGACACGGUCCAGACUCCUACGGGAGGCAGCAGUAGGGAAUCUUCCGCAAUGGGCGAAAGCCUGACGGAGCAACGCCGCGUGCGUGAUGAAGGUCUUCGGAUCGUAAAACUCUGUUAUUAGGGAAGAACAUAUGUGUAAGUAACUGUGCACAUCUUGACGGUACCUAAUCAGAAAGCCACGGCUAACUACGUG
RNAcentral lists this ribosomal RNA (497 nucleotides) under uncultured bacterium. RNAcentral's name for it is "partial 16S ribosomal RNA". It matches the Rfam family "Bacterial small subunit ribosomal RNA", at positions 28 to 507 of the family's 1533-position model. The record is from RNAcentral.